Molecule: ribosomal RNA, 396 nt
Filed under: Triticum aestivum (bread wheat)
Lineage: Eukaryota; Viridiplantae; Streptophyta; Magnoliopsida; Poales; Poaceae
Description: partial small subunit ribosomal RNA
Source: RNAcentral
AUGACACACAUACAUCAGACCCAAGGUCAGUUUGAAACCAGAUUCAAGGUCAGUUUAGAACCAAAAUUUAAAAAAAUGCUACAACUAGCAGAAUACCUAAAUCAGCACGUACAAGCUUUGUUGGUCAAUCCAAGUAUCUACUACUACAAAAAAACUUGUAACAAUAUGUAUCUAUGUUAUCUAUGCAUUCACCCAAAAAGUUGGUCUUCAAAUAGACUUCAUGUUCUACAUGUUGCUGAGCACACGAAGUUGGCAGUUCUGUGCUUGUUUCCAAAAUCUACAAGAGCGAUCAAACAAGCAGUUGGUCGAACUGGAGGUGGUGGAAUUUUGUUGAUAAGACAUUCCUUGUUUAGCUGCCAAAGUCUGCAAAUGAAUAGAGAUACACCAACUGGUUAG